GCUGGCGGCGUGCUUACACAUGCAAGUCGCGCGCUGCAGUUUCUUCGGCAAUGGAUUAGCGGCUCACGGGUGUCGGAAACACGUGAAAUCAUCUGCCCUCCACUUUGGGCUUAACACAGGGAAACCUGUGCUAAUACCGAAUAUUGAAACAUAAGUGGCAUCACUGAGUUUUGAAAGAAAUUUCGGUGGAGGAUGACUUCGCGGCCUAUCAGCUAGUUGGUGAGGUAAUGGCUCACCAAGGCAACGACGGGUAGCCGGCCUGAGAGGGCGACCGGCCACACUGGGACUGAGACACGGCCCAGACUCCUACGGGAGGCAGCAGUGGGGAAUAUUGGGCAAUGGAGGAAACUCUGACCCAGCGACGCCGCGUGCGGGAUGAAGGCCUUCGGGUUGUAAACCGCUUUCAGUAGGGAAGAAGCGAAAGUGACGGUACCUACAAAAGAAGCACCGGCUAACUAUGUGCCAGCAGCCGCGGUAAUACAUAGGGUGCAAGCGUUGUCCGGAAUCAUUGGGCGUAAAGAGCUCGUAGGUGGUUCGUCACGUCGGAUGUGAAACUCUGGGGCUUAACCCCAGACCUGCAUUCGAUACGGGCGAGCUUGAGUAUGGUAGGGGAGUCUGGAAUUCCUGGUGUAGCGGUGGAAUGCGCAGAUAUCAGGAGGAACACCAAUGGCGAAGGCAGGACUCUGGGCCAUUACUGACACUGAGGAGCGAAAGCGUGGGGAGCGAACAGGAUUAGAUACCCUGGUAGUCCACGCCGUAAACGGUGGGCACUAGUUGUGGGGACCUUCCACGGUCUCUGCGACGCAGCUAACGCAUUAAGUGCCCCGCCUGGGGAGUACGAUCGCAAGAUUAAAACUUAAAUGAAUUGACGG
RNAcentral lists this ribosomal RNA (872 nucleotides) under uncultured Actinomycetes bacterium. RNAcentral describes it as "bacterial SSU rRNA". It matches the Rfam family "Bacterial small subunit ribosomal RNA", at positions 35 to 916 of the family's 1533-position model. The record is from RNAcentral. Lineage: Bacteria; Bacillati; Actinomycetota; Actinomycetes.